CCUACGGGAGGCAGCAGUGGGGAAUAUUGGACAAUGGGCGCAAGCCUGAUCCAGCAAUGCCGCGUGUGUGAAGAAGGCCUUCGGGUUGUAAAGCACUUUAGGCAGGGAAGAAAAAAUCGGCGAUAACAUCGCCGAUCUUGACGGUACCUGAGGAAUAAGCACCGGCUAACUCUGUGCCAGCAGCCGCGGUAAUACAGAGGGUGCAAGCGUUAAUCGGAUUUACUGGGCGUAAAGCGUGUGUAGGUGGUUAGAAAAGUCGAUUGUGAAAUCCCUGGGCUCAACCCGGGAACUGCUUUCGAGACUGUUUGACUAGAAUUCGGUAGAGGGAGGCGGAACUCCAGGUGUAGCGGUGAAAUGCGUAGAUAUCUGGAAGAACACCAAUGGCGAAGGCAACCUCCUGGGCCUGAAUUGACACUGAGACACGAAAGCGUGGGGAUCAAACAGGAUUAGAUACCCUGGUAGUCCACGCCGUAAACGAUGAGAACUUGACGUCGGUUUGCUCUGCGAAUCGGUGUCGUAGCUAACGCGAUAAGUUCUCCGCCUGGGGAGUACGGCCGCAAGGUUGAAACUUAAAUGAAUUGACGGCUGAGACUAAGGCGACACGAGGGAGAGGG
This 614-nucleotide ribosomal RNA is filed under the name uncultured bacterium. RNAcentral describes it as "bacterial SSU rRNA". It matches the Rfam family "Bacterial small subunit ribosomal RNA", at positions 338 to 945 of the family's 1533-position model. The record is from RNAcentral.